Molecule: ribosomal RNA, 722 nt
Filed under: uncultured bacterium
Lineage: Bacteria
Description: bacterial SSU rRNA
Rfam family: Bacterial small subunit ribosomal RNA
Source: RNAcentral
AGUCCGACGCGAAAGCCCCUUCGGGGGCAAGUAGAGUGGCGCACGAGUGAGUAACACGUAGGUAAUCUACCUUUGGAUGGGGAAUAACAACCGGAAACGGUUGCUAAUACCGCAUAAUGCAGCGGCACCUAAUGGUGACAGUUGUUAAAGCGGGGGAUCGAAAGACCUCGCGUCUGAAGAGGAGCCUGCGGCGGAUUAGCUAGUUGGUAAGGUAACGGCUUACCAAGGCGAUGAUCCGUAGCCGGCCUGAGAGGGCGGUCGGCCACACUGACACUGACAUACGGGUCAGACUCCUACGGGAGGCAGCAGUCGGGAAUUUUGGGCAAUGGGCGAAAGCCUGACCCAGCAACGCCGCGUGAAGGAUGAAAUCCUUUGGGAUGUAAACUUCGCAAGAACGGGAAGAAUAAGUAAGAGCUAACAUCUCUUACGAUGACGGUACUGUUUGUAAGCUCCGGCUAACUCCGUGCCAGCAGCCGCGGUAAUACGGGGGGAGCAAGCGUUGUUCGGAUUUACUGGGCGUAAAGGGCGCGUAGGCGGCCACGACAAGUCACUUGUGAAAUCUCCGGGCUUAACUCGGAACGGUCAAGUGAUACUGUCGGGCUAGAGUGCAGAAGGGGCAACUGGAAUUCUCGGUGUAGCGGUGAAAUGCGUAGAUAUCGAGAGGAACACCUGCGGCGAAGGCGGGUUGCUGGGCUGACACUGACGCUGAGGCGCGAAAGCCA